This 294-nucleotide ribosomal RNA is filed under the name uncultured bacterium. RNAcentral's name for it is "partial 16S ribosomal RNA". It matches the Rfam family "Bacterial small subunit ribosomal RNA", at positions 537 to 832 of the family's 1533-position model. The record is from RNAcentral.
AGCGUUAUCCGGAAUUAUUGGGCGUAAAGGGCUCGUAGGCGGUUCGUCGCGUCCGGUGUGAAAGUCCAUCGCUUAACGGUGGAUCCGCGCCGGGUACGGGCGGGCUUGAGUGCGGUAGGGGAGACUGGAAUUCCCGGUGUAACGGUGGAAUGUGUAGAUAUCGGGAAGAACACCAAUGGCGAAGGCAGGUCUCUGGGCCGUCACUGACGCUGAGGAGCAAAGCGUGGGGAGCAACAGGAUUAGAUACCCUGGUAGUCCACGCCGUAAACGGUGGAUGCUGGAUGUGGGGACCCU